This 115-nucleotide transfer RNA is filed under the name Rahnella aceris. Its description in RNAcentral is "tRNA-OTHER". The record is from RNAcentral. Lineage: Bacteria; Pseudomonadati; Pseudomonadota; Gammaproteobacteria; Enterobacterales; Yersiniaceae.
GGCAUUUAACGGCAGACCAUGCCAUUGUUUAUUAUGAUAAAUAUAUGAUUUCACUAAGAUAUACUUGAUACUCAUAAUCCCCGGGUCGCUGGUUCAAGUCCAGCAAGGGCCACCA